This 505-nucleotide ribosomal RNA is filed under the name uncultured soil bacterium. RNAcentral describes it as "bacterial SSU rRNA". It matches the Rfam family "Bacterial small subunit ribosomal RNA", at positions 26 to 518 of the family's 1533-position model. The record is from RNAcentral.
AGGACGAACGCUGGCGGCGCGCUUAACACAUGCAAGUCGAGCGAGAACCAGGGCUUCGGCCCUGGGGACAGCGGCGAACGGGUGAGUAACACAUGGGUAACCUGCCCUCGGCACCGGAAUAGCCCGGGGAAACCCGGAUUAAUGCUGGAUAGCCUCACGGACCCUCGGGUCUGUGAGAAAAGGUAGCUUCGGCUUCCGGCUGAGGAUGGGCCCGCGGCCGAUUAGCUUGUUGGUGAGGUAACGGCUCACCAAGGCGACGAUCGGUAGCUGGUCUGAGAGGACGAUCAGCCACACUGGGACUGAGACACGGCCCAGACUCCUACGGGAGGCAGCAGUGGGAAUCUUGCGCAAUGGGCGAAGGCCUGACGCAGCGACGCCGCGUGCGGGAAGAAGGCCUUCGGGUUGUAAACCGCUUUACAGGAGGUACGAAGCCACUCAGUUAAUAGCCGAGAGGUGACGGUACCUCCGAGAAGAAGCCCCGGCUAACGACGUGCCAGCCAGCCGC